CUAAGGAGUUUUUGUUGUGUGUGCCCUGUGGUUGGUGGGGUGCGCAUGGUUUUUCUAUGUUUUUGAUCAACUGUGUGUUGUGUGUUGUUUGUGUGUGUUGGUGCAUUGUUGGGUGUCUGAGGUGACUGUUGUUGCUUCAACCCGGACCAUUCCUGGUGGGGAUCGCUGUGUUGUGGUUUCUGUGUGGGGGUGGGGUGUUGUUUGAGAACUGUAUAGUGGACGCGAAUGCGAUUUUUUAACUGAUUCUUCUUUUUUGUGGACGCCGCCCGUACUGUGGUGCGGGUUGGUUGCUUGUGUUGUGUGU
This 304-nucleotide unclassified non-coding RNA is filed under the name uncultured bacterium. RNAcentral describes it as "16S-23S ribosomal RNA intergenic spacer". The record is from RNAcentral.